RNAcentral lists this ribosomal RNA (334 nucleotides) under uncultured Bacteroidales bacterium. RNAcentral's name for it is "bacterial SSU rRNA". It matches the Rfam family "Bacterial small subunit ribosomal RNA", at positions 22 to 355 of the family's 1533-position model. Lineage: Bacteria; Pseudomonadati; Bacteroidota; Bacteroidia; Bacteroidales. The record is from RNAcentral.
GCUCAGGAUGAACGCUAGCUACAGGCUUAACACAUGCAAGUCGAGGGGUAGCAGGGUAGCAAUACCGCUGACGACCGGCGCACGGGUGAGUAACACGUAUCCAACCUUCCCAUAACUCGGGGAUAGCCUUUCGAAAGAAAGAUUAAUACCCGAUAGUACUUUAUUAAGGCAUCUUAAGAAAGUUAAAGAUUUAUUGGUUAUGGAUGGGGAUGCGUUCCAUUAGAUAGUUGGUGAGGUAACGGCUCACCAAGUCUUCGAUGGAUAGGGGUUCUGAGAGGAAGGUCCCCCACAUUGGUACUGAGACACGGACCAAACUCCUACGGGAGGCAGCAGU